RNAcentral lists this ribosomal RNA (257 nucleotides) under Staphylococcus epidermidis. RNAcentral describes it as "partial 16S ribosomal RNA". It matches the Rfam family "Bacterial small subunit ribosomal RNA", at positions 1 to 246 of the family's 1533-position model. The record is from RNAcentral. Lineage: Bacteria; Bacillati; Bacillota; Bacilli; Caryophanales; Staphylococcaceae.
UUUUAUGGAGAGUUUGAUCCUGGCUCAGGAUGAACGCUGGCGGCGUGCCUAAUACAUGCAAGUCGAGCGAACAGACGAGGAGCUUGCUUCUCUGACGUUAGCGGCGGACGGGUGAGUAACACGUGGAUAACCUACCUAUAAGACUGGGAUAACUUCGGGAAACCGGAGCUAAUACCGGAUAAUAUAUUGAACCGCAUGGUUCAAUAGUGAAAGACGGUUUUGCUGUCACUUAUAGAUGGAUUCGCGCCGCAUUAGCU